GCUGAUAUAGCUCAGAUGGUAGAGCGCACCCUUGGUAAGGGUGAGGUCCCCGGUUCAAUUCCGGGUAUCAGCACCA
Molecule: transfer RNA, 76 nt
Filed under: Saccharobesus litoralis
Lineage: Bacteria; Pseudomonadati; Pseudomonadota; Gammaproteobacteria; Alteromonadales; Alteromonadaceae
Description: Catenovulum sp. CCB-QB4 tRNA-Thr
Rfam family: tRNA
About the family: Transfer RNA (tRNA) molecules are approximately 80 nucleotides in length. Their secondary structure includes four short double-helical elements and three loops (D, anti-codon, and T loops). Further hydrogen bonds mediate the characteristic L-shaped molecular structure. tRNAs have two regions of fundamental functional importance: the anti-codon, which is responsible for specific mRNA codon recognition, and the 3' end, to which the tRNAs corresponding amino acid is attached (by aminoacyl-tRNA synthetases). tRNAs cope with the degeneracy of the genetic code in two manners: having more than one tRNA (with a specific anti-codon) for a particular amino acid; and 'wobble' base-pairing, i.e. permitting non-standard base-pairing at the 3rd anti-codon position.
Source: RNAcentral